UUGAUUGAUUUGUUUUCUUCUCAGACUGCUGUUCAUAUUCAGAGUUGGGGCCUCCGACGGGCGGAGGGCAGGCGUCUCGCAUGCGUCACGCGAGGCCGCCCACCCCGCUCAGAUCGCUGCUGGGCUCCUCAUCCCUCUCCCCUUUCGAAAAAGCGGGGAGAAAUGCACUGCGCCCCACAGACAACCCACGUCCGUCAAAGCAACGGGUGGAAAUACAAGGGUGGAGACCGUGAUUGCUCACAGAACUCGGUAAUGAUCCUUCCGCAGGUUCACCUACGGAAA
This 282-nucleotide unclassified non-coding RNA is filed under the name uncultured fungus. Its description in RNAcentral is "sequence contains ITS1". Lineage: Eukaryota; Fungi. The record is from RNAcentral.